This 57-nucleotide transfer RNA is filed under the name Capra hircus (goat). It matches the Rfam family "tRNA", at positions 8 to 63 of the family's 71-position model. Rfam says of the family: Transfer RNA (tRNA) molecules are approximately 80 nucleotides in length. Their secondary structure includes four short double-helical elements and three loops (D, anti-codon, and T loops). Lineage: Eukaryota; Metazoa; Chordata; Mammalia; Artiodactyla; Bovidae. The record is from Rfam by way of RNAcentral. RNAcentral also lists the same sequence under 1 other name.
UGGCUCAGAUAGUAAAGCGUCUGCCUGCAAUGCAGGAGAUCCAGGUUCGAUCCCUGG